CAUUUCUAGCUUGCUAGAAGAUGACGAGUGGCGGACGGGUGAGUAAUGCUUGGGAACUUGCCUUUGCGAGGGGGAUAACAGUUGGAAACGACUGCUAAUACCGCAUAAUGUCUUCGGACCAAACGGGGCUUCGGCUCCGGCGCAAAGAGAGGCCCAAGUGAGAUUAGCUAGUUGGUAAGGUAACGGCUUACCAAGGCGACGAUCUCUAGCUGUUCUGAGAGGAAGAUCAGCCACACUGGGACUGAGACACGGCCCAGACUCCUACGGGAGGCAGCAGUGGGGAAUAUUGCACAAUGGGGGAAACCCUGAUGCAGCCAUGCCGCGUGUGUGAAGAAGGCCUUCGGGUUGUAAAGCACUUUCAGUUGUGAGGAAAAGUUAGUAGCUAAUACCUGCUAGCCGUGACGUUAACAACAGAAGAAGCACCGGCUAACUCCGUGCCAGCAGCCGCGGUAAUACGGAGGGUGCGAGCGUUAAUCGGAAUUACUGGGCGUAAAGCGCACGCAGGCGGUUUGUUAAGCUAGAUGUGAAAGCCCCGGGCUCAACCUGGGAUGGUCAUUUAGAACUGGCAGACUAGAGUCUUGGAGAGGGGAGUGGAAUUCCAGGUGUAGCGGUGAAAUGCGUAGAUAUCUGGAGGAACAUCAGUGGCGAAGGCGACUCCCUGGCCAAAGACUGACGCUCAUGUGCGAAAGUGUGGGUAGCGAACAGGAUUAGAUACCCUGGUAGUCCACACCGUAAACGCUGUCUACUAGCUGUGUGUGCCUUUAAGGCGUGCGUAGCGAAGCUAACGCGCUAAGUAGACCGCCUGGGGGAGUACGGCCGCAAGGUUAAAACUCAAAUGAAUUGACGGGGGCUCCGCACAAGCGGUGGAGCAUGUGGUUUAAUUCGAUGCAACGCGAAGAAC
This 901-nucleotide ribosomal RNA is filed under the name Alteromonadales bacterium HOT3B4. RNAcentral's name for it is "bacterial SSU rRNA". It matches the Rfam family "Bacterial small subunit ribosomal RNA", at positions 70 to 969 of the family's 1533-position model. The record is from RNAcentral. Lineage: Bacteria; Pseudomonadati; Pseudomonadota; Gammaproteobacteria; Alteromonadales.